UACGUAUGGUGCAAGCGUUAUCCGGAUUUACUGGGUGUAAAGGGAGCGCAGGCGGCACGGCAAGCCUGAUGUGAAAGCCCGCGGCCCAACCGCGGGACUGCAUUGGGAACUACCGGGCUGGAGUGCCGGAGGGGCAGGCGGAAUUCCUGGUGUAGCGGUGAAAUGCGUAGAUAUCAGGAGGAACACCGGUGGCGAAGGCGGCCUGCUGGACUGCAACUGACGUUGAGGCCCGAAAGCGUGGGGAGCAAACAGG
RNAcentral lists this ribosomal RNA (253 nucleotides) under uncultured bacterium. Its description in RNAcentral is "partial 16S ribosomal RNA". It matches the Rfam family "Bacterial small subunit ribosomal RNA", at positions 524 to 776 of the family's 1533-position model. The record is from RNAcentral.